GACCGAUAGUGAACCAGUACCGUGAGGGAAAGGCGAAAAGAACCCCGGCGAGGGGAGUGAAAAAGAACCUGAAACCGUGUACGUACAAGCAGUGGGAGCACAGGUUUACCUGUGUGACUGCGUACCUUUUGUAUAAUGGGUCAGCGACUUAUAUUCUGUAGCAAGGUUAACCGAAUAGGGGAGCCGGAGGGAAACCGAGUCUUAAUUGGGCGUUAAGUUGCAGGGUAUAGACCCGAAACCCGGUGAUCUAGCCAUGGGCAGGUUGAAGGUUGGGUAACACUAACUGGAGGACCGAACCGACUAAUGUUGAAAAAUUAGCGGAUGACCUGUGGCUGGGGGUGAAAGGCCAAUCAAACCGGGAGAUAGCUGGUUCUCCCCGAAAGCUAUUUAGGUAGCGCCUCGUGAAUUCAUCUCCGGGGGUAGAGCACUGUUUCGGCUAGGGGGCCAUCCCGGCUUACCAACCCGAUGCAAACUGCGAAUACCGGAGAAUGUUAUCACGGGAGACACACGGCGGGUGCUAACGUCCGUCGUGAAGAGGGAAACAACCCAGACCGCCAGCUAAGGUCCCAAAGUCAUGGUUAAGUGGGAAACGAUGUGGGAAGGCCCAGACAGCCAGGAUGUUGGCUUAGAAGCAGCCAUCAUUUAAAGAAAGCGUAAUAGCUCACUGGUCGAGUCGGCCUGCGCGGAAGAUGUAACGGGGCUAAACCAUGCACCGAAGCUGCGGCAGCGAACGUAUCACUUAAAGCGAUUCAGCGGGUUACGAUUGACGGAGCGAAGCGACGUCAAAGCGUAUACAAAGUCGAGUCGGUUUAAGGAUACGUUCGU
This 825-nucleotide ribosomal RNA is filed under the name Salmonella enterica subsp. enterica serovar Dublin. RNAcentral describes it as "partial 23S ribosomal RNA". It matches the Rfam family "Bacterial large subunit ribosomal RNA", at positions 482 to 1291 of the family's 2925-position model. Lineage: Bacteria; Pseudomonadati; Pseudomonadota; Gammaproteobacteria; Enterobacterales; Enterobacteriaceae. The record is from RNAcentral.